Molecule: ribosomal RNA, 303 nt
Filed under: Triticum aestivum (bread wheat)
Lineage: Eukaryota; Viridiplantae; Streptophyta; Magnoliopsida; Poales; Poaceae
Description: partial small subunit ribosomal RNA
Source: RNAcentral
AUGCUUGUUUUGACCAUUGGAAUUUUCAAAGACCACCGCCGCAAGAACAUGUCACUGGAUGCUCAAGAUACAAGGCCCAGCUGGAAGAGACAUCUUCCCAAGGGCUGGUUAUCCAAUUCUAAAAGAGGAGCUUGCUAUGGCCAUCCAGGGUCCAGGGCGAUUACAUACGCGGCGAAUGCAGAUGCAUAUGGUAAGCUCCGUGUCGACAUGACGAACCAACACCAGUUGGGAGCCCGGAUGAAGAAGGUUGCCGAUGGGAGAAAGAGGAGAAGCGAUGGGAUGUUUAUGGCAGCUUAUGGAUGA